GGUACCCAUUCAUUCCAGGUAUGGAAGUCAAUAAAUGGGCGAGCAUCCAGCAUUCUGCAAAAUAUCUUCUUUUGUGUAUAACAGAAUAGAGAAACUUAAAGGUUUAAAACCACACAAGUGACAACAAAUGAUGAGGUCAUUUAAAUUUUUCGGUGAACUAUCCCUUUAAGCUUAUUACUAUUGUUGUUGUUGUUAUUAUUAUUUUUUUUAUUAAUUACAAUGCAGUUGUAAUCAUUUACUCUCAUUCUUCAAAAUAUCUUCUUUUGUGUUCAAAAGAAACAAACAGACCCAUUGAGGUUUAAAACCACAUGAGUUACAAUAAAUGAUGAUUUUUUUGAUGAUCACUUUUUCUAAAAUAAUUACAAUGCAAUCAUAUUUAAAUCAAAAUGUUUGCACAAAGAGAUUGUACAAACAUUUAACGAUAUUCUUUCUCUUGAAUUUGGAGGUGAGGUGUUCUUUACUGGUUUUGUGUGAUUUUACUUAAUAUACCAGCCCACUUACUGUAUCAUCUUUCUUACUGUACCUUUUAUUUUGGGGAUAAAAUUAACUAAUCCAUUGUGAGAUGUUACUAUAGCUGGAGUUGAAUCUGAAACGGUUGGAUGUAGACGAGCGGCUCAAGCUCACUCACACUCUGUGAAUGUUUUUUUUAGGUUUGUUUUAUAGCAUCUGGUACUUGCUCCAGGGGUUUUUCUUUUUAAUCUAAGCUUACCCCACGUCUAAAAAAAACACCUAAAAUUGAAAGUGCAGGGUUUUGGUUGAUCAUUUUCAGGUUAUGACUGCUUUUACUCACCAGCCAGCCACAAUCGUCUGCCAUAAACCCCUUCAUUUUGAAUGCAUAAUGUUACUUUUAAUGCAGAACUUUACUCAUAGAUGUUCUGCAGAAUGUUUACAGUUCUGGUCAGAAAUACAGGGAUUAAUAUAUGUCUAUAACAGUAUUUUAUUUUAGUGAUGAAUGCAAUGAAACUGCGUAGCUUAAACAGUUUUCCUCAUAUUUGAGUCUCUGCUUAUCCUGUUUAUAUGGUGACGGGCAACUCACCAUAAGCUGCGAUUUUACAACAGACUAGACUCUUUCAUUGGUUGGCACUUGUAACAGCAGCCAAUCACAGUCAUCUUGUAUGCCUGACAUGGUAACUGGCCGAGCAUUAAGAAUUCUGAGAAUUAGUAAACCUAUCUUGCAUAUCAGUGCAUGUUUGUAUUUCGCAGCCUUUAGAUUAAGCAUGGACGUCUUUAACGGACCGGCUGGAAACCUCUUGGCCUGCUGUCUGUUUCAAUUAAAUGGUCCAAUUUAACCUAUGUAGAGCUGGCCUGAGUAAUAACACUUGGGCGCAGAAAUGAUGGAGUUUCAUCUGAAAUGUCAGUUUGUAGACAGACUAACAGUUGGAAAUAAAGUUUGGAAUAAAAAUA
This 1404-nucleotide long non-coding RNA is filed under the name Danio rerio (zebrafish). RNAcentral's name for it is "lncRNA (ENSDARG00000096877.2)". The record is from RNAcentral. Lineage: Eukaryota; Metazoa; Chordata; Actinopteri; Cypriniformes; Danionidae.